GAUGAACGCUGGCGGCGUGCCUAAUACAUGCAAGUCGAGCGAACGGACGAGAAGCUUGCUUCUCUGAUGUUAGCGGCGGACGGGUGAGUAACACGUGGAUAACCUACCUAUAAGACUGGGAUAACUUCGGGAAACCGGAGCUAAUACCGGAUAAUAUUUUGAACCGCAUGGUUCAAAAGUGAAAGACGGUCUUGCUGUCACUUAUAGAUGGAUCCGCGCUGCAUUAGCUAGUUGGUAAGGUAACGGCUUACCAAGGCAACGAUGCAUAGCCGACCUGAGAGGGUGAUCGGCCACACUGGAACUGAGACACGGUCCAGACUCCUACGGGAGGCAGCAGUAGGGAAUCUUCCGCAAUGGGCGAAAGCCUGACGGAGCAACGCCGCGUGAGUGAUGAAGGUCUUCGGAUCGUAAAACUCUGUUAUUAGGGAAGAACAUAUAUGUAAGUAACUGUGCACAUCUUGACGGUACCUAAGCAGAAAGCCACGGCUAACUACGU
Molecule: ribosomal RNA, 496 nt
Filed under: uncultured bacterium
Lineage: Bacteria
Description: partial 16S ribosomal RNA
Rfam family: Bacterial small subunit ribosomal RNA
Source: RNAcentral